Long non-coding RNA from Clarias gariepinus (North African catfish), 309 nucleotides. RefSeq lists it as uncharacterized. NCBI's taxonomy places the organism in Eukaryota, Metazoa, Chordata, Actinopteri, Siluriformes, Clariidae. The transcript is spliced from 3 exons. The record is from RefSeq and is a predicted model, not a curated record.
GUUUACAGAAAGUAUUAGAUAUGACUAUAGGGUGUGACAUCAUGUCUCCUUUAUCGCGGUACACUGGGUUUCAUACUGCACUGGUGUAAUACUGUAUAACGGGACUAAACCUCUACUGCGGUACUAGAGCCAUGAAAACGUGAAUCCACACACACUGACGCACCAUGACUAACUUUUCCUGCAUCUGCACCGUGUGGAUCAGUGCCUGGGUGGACCUCCUCUCUGCAGAACCUGAGAUCAGUGUAUCUGGCCCAGUGGGUUCUACAGCUGUCCUGCCGUGUCAACUGACGAGUGUAGACACUGACAGAC